Papaver somniferum (opium poppy) is the source of this 1752-nucleotide long non-coding RNA. RefSeq lists it as uncharacterized. The record is from RefSeq and is a predicted model, not a curated record. The transcript is spliced from 2 exons. Lineage: Eukaryota; Viridiplantae; Streptophyta; Magnoliopsida; Ranunculales; Papaveraceae.
GUUCUCUGUUUCUUUCUCUUUCUUCUUCUUUCUUCUUCUUUUCCUCUGUUCUCCUUCUCUUUUCUCUGCAAAUUCUUCUUCCUCCCGUAUCAAUCGAUGGAACAUAAAUUUGAAGUUAGCAAUUGAAUUAGUGAGGGUCAGAAGACAAUAAAUUGUUGGUGAAGAACGAUGUGUAGUUAAUUUAGUUCAACAGAAAAGAGGGUUUCAGAGAUUUGAAAAUAGGGUUGCAGAUUUGAUUAACGUUUUGGAGGUUAUGAGAUAUGAAUCGAGUUACUGACAGAUGAAUAAGAAGAGGGUUGUUGUUAUAUUGUUGUGGUUGUGUUGUCUCGGUGAUUGAAUCAAGAGUCAGGGUUUCUUGAAGAAUUUAAGGAAGAAUUAGAGGGUGAAAUUAAUGUUAAGGGGACUACUUAUCAACGAUGGGUUUGUUCUUAAUUGGUGUUUGAUGGAAUAUGUGGAGUUGUUAUGAAGAUUGAUUAAGAAAUUGCAGAAUUAGGGUUAUUGAUGUUCUUCCCCAAAUUGGAAUUAGGGUUUCGGUAAAUGAAUGUUGGUGCUGGUGGUUAAUGAUUGUAAUUGAACGAGAAUGAUGAGUUGAUACUUUGAGAUGAGUUGCUGUAACAAGUGAAAGCAAAGAAGAAUCAUAUUUGUCUGUAGCCAUGGUUUAGGUGAAACAAAAUUGAGGUAAUUGUUUUAGUAGUAUUCAUCAGUUCAAGUUCCUUAUUGAGUUCAUAAGUUUCUUAAUGAAUUAAGAAUUGAAUUGGAUUUGUUGGGUAUGUGUAGGCCGUUCAUGUAAUCAGGAUUUAGUAUUGUUUUGAAUUACAGGCUUUCUGUGAGUUUAAUUGGGAAUGGAAUUACAUGAAUAAGGAUGUUGGGGGUAAGUGAACUAUAUUAGGGUUGUGAUAUUAUUGAUGUUGCUGAGACUGGUGGUGGUAAUGUAUAGGAGGUAUUGUAACUUAGCUGUUGUGGCAGAGAAGAACUAAUAUUUAGUUUCUGAAAUUGCAGUUGAGGUAUUAGUGAACAUGUAAACUGUAAUGUGUGGAACUGAAGUAGGUUUGAUUGAGUGUAAAGGAGCUAUGGUUGUGUUGGGUAGGUUUGAAGUACAAUAAUGGUAAUGUUGGUGUUUGAUAUUUGAGUGUAUGGCUUGGAAGUAGUGAUGAAAUAGUUGUGCUGGGAGUUUGCAGUGGCAAUUGAGAUGGAUAAGAUGAAUAUGGUGUUGCCGGUGAAGAACAUGAGCCAUAAAUGAGCAUUGGUGAAUGUUGUUGGUGGUGAUAUUAUUGUUGUUGUAAAUUUGAAGAUGGUAAUUCUACAAAUAGGGUGACUAGUCUAUAACGAUGUGAAGAAUGUAUUGAACUGGUGGGAGUUGAUGCUAGUGUUAUUGUGGUAAAAUUUUGAUGUUGGUGAUUGUAAAGAGUCAAGUGUUGUGGUUGCUUUUGAGUUGCAGGACAGAAGUGGUAGUGUCAUAGUUUUUGGAACUUGAUUGUGUCGAUAAGAUGUUUGAGCUGAAGUUGAUGGUAAUGCUGUUUUGGCAAUGGCCUUAGUGAAAGCCUGCAACUGCAGAUUAAGGGCACCCCUUUUAAGGAUGACGUGCUCACCCAUUCCCACUUUCAGUUUCAGAGACAGAUCAGAGUUGUGCAGCGAAAGCUUCAAGGGUUGUUUUCGUUAGUUGGUUAACUUGUAUUAUGUUUAUUAUAUGACAUAUUGUAUAUGUAAACCAAAUGACUAUUGUAUAUGUAUCAUUUGAGAGGACUUCUUGUA